AACGAACGCUGGCGGCAUGCCUAACACAUGCCAGUCGAACGAGACCUUCGGGUCUAGUGGCGCACGGGUGCGUAACGCGUGGGAACCUGCCCUUAGGUUCGGAGUAACUCCCCGAAAGGGGUGCUAAUACCGGAUAAUGUCUUCGGACCAAAGAUUUAUCGCCUUUGGAUGGGCCCGCGUUGGAUUAGCUAGUUGGUAGGGUAAAAGCCUACCAAGGCGACGAUCCAUAGCUGGUCUGAGAGGAUGAUCAGCCACACUGGGACUGAGACACGGCCCAGACUCCUACGGGAGGCAGCAGUGGGGAAUAUUGGACAAUGGGCGAAAGCCUGAUCCAGCAAUGCCGCGUGAGUGAUGAAGGCCUUAGGGUUGUAAAGCUCUUUUACCCGGGAUGAUAAUGACAGUACCGGGAGAAUAAGCUCCGGCUAACUCCGUG
This 433-nucleotide ribosomal RNA is filed under the name uncultured bacterium. Its description in RNAcentral is "partial 16S ribosomal RNA". It matches the Rfam family "Bacterial small subunit ribosomal RNA", at positions 29 to 507 of the family's 1533-position model. The record is from RNAcentral.